RNAcentral lists this long non-coding RNA (471 nucleotides) under Phoenix dactylifera (date palm). RNAcentral's name for it is "long non-coding RNA (PDAC_LNC019559)". The record is from RNAcentral. Lineage: Eukaryota; Viridiplantae; Streptophyta; Magnoliopsida; Arecales; Arecaceae.
UACCUUAAAUUUAAAUACAGUGAAAAUAGGGGCAGAGCUUUGACUGGACUUAAAUCAUGAGGCUAGAAUACUAUUUAGAAAUUGAAACAAUAUAUAUAUCAGAUUUUUGAGACAUGAUUUCGAAUAAAUUUUUUAAUAAUUAUUUUUAAAUUGAUUGUUUAAAUUAUUUCUGAAAUUAGUUGAUAUGAUUCAUACAAAUUCGACUUGUCAGCUUAUAUUAGGUUUACUAUGAAUUAAGUCUUAACAAAUUGUUUAAAUUAGGAUCAAAUGAAUGGCCUGAAAGUUCUGCAGGUGAAUAUGGGUGGAGAGCUCUCGACCACUGUCGAAUCGUUGUGUUUAUUUGACCCAACCGGUUUCACCCCUAAGUCCACACGUGUGCAACCACACUAAACAGUGCUCUUCGUCAGUAUCAGGGUUGGGCCCAUAUCGGCCGUGAAUCAUAUCUGUAUUUAGAUCCUUCUCUCAUAUUCA